AUUGAACGCUGGCGGCAUGCCUUACACAUGCAAGUCGAACGGUAACAGGUUAAGCUGACGAGUGGCGAACGGGUGAGUAAUAUAUCGGAACGUGCCCAGUCGUGGGGGAUAACGUAGCGAAAGCUACGCUAAUACCGCAUGCGAUCUACGGAUGAAAACGGGGGAUCGCAAGACCUCGCGCGAUUGGAGCGGCCGAUAUCAGAUUAGGUUGUUGGUGAGGUAAAAGCUCACCAAGCCUGCGAUCUGUAGCUGGUCUGAGAGGACGACCAGCCACACUGGAACUGAGACACGGUCCAGACUCCUACGGGAGGCAGCAGUGGGGAAUUUUGGACAAUGGACGCAAGUCUGAUCCAGCAAUGCCGCGUGCAGGACGAAGGCCUUCGGGUUGUAAACUGCUUUUGUACGGAACGAAACGGUGAGCUCUAAUACAGUUUGCUAAUGACGGUACCGUAAGAAUAAGCACCGGCUAACUACGUGCCAGCCGCCGCUGUAA
Molecule: ribosomal RNA, 493 nt
Filed under: uncultured bacterium
Lineage: Bacteria
Description: partial 16S ribosomal RNA
Rfam family: Bacterial small subunit ribosomal RNA
Source: RNAcentral